RNAcentral lists this transfer RNA (66 nucleotides) under Marmota monax (woodchuck). It matches the Rfam family "tRNA". Rfam says of the family: Transfer RNA (tRNA) molecules are approximately 80 nucleotides in length. Their secondary structure includes four short double-helical elements and three loops (D, anti-codon, and T loops). Lineage: Eukaryota; Metazoa; Chordata; Mammalia; Rodentia; Sciuridae. The record is from Rfam by way of RNAcentral.
GAGGUGGUGGCUCAGUGGUAGAGUGCUUGCCUAGCAUGCAUGAGGCAUGGAGUUCCAUCCCCUGCA